GCCGAUGUAGCUCAAUGGCAGAGCAACACUUUUGUAAAGUGAAGGUUGUCGGUUCAAGUCCGACCAUCGGCUCCA
This 75-nucleotide transfer RNA is filed under the name bacterium. Its description in RNAcentral is "tRNA-Thr". It matches the Rfam family "tRNA". From Rfam's summary of the family: Transfer RNA (tRNA) molecules are approximately 80 nucleotides in length. The record is from RNAcentral.